CUCCAGUUUGCGCUUGCGCACAACCGCGCCCCCGCCUCCCAACGCUGGCGGUGCUGCCAGCAACUGCUCUCCAGAGUGAAGUGAUGCUGAGAUCUCUGGAGGGAACAGUGGGAUCCCACCAACCCGGAGACUGCAAAUAUUACAGCUCAUGAUCAUAGCAAGGAAAGAGCCUCAGGGAUCCAAGGUCAACCACUCAGGAGAAGGCAGGGAAGUGUAACUCAAGACUCCCAUUCACCCCGGACCCAGAAGGUAGCUGAAAGCUGUAUGAAAAGCCUGGCAUUUCUGUUUUCAUUUCACGUUGUCCCCAUCUCCUGCUGGAUCUAGCUUAGGCGUGCUAAUCAAGGAGUCUGUCUACCUAAUUUGUCUCAUCUCCCCUUGAGAAUAAAGGCAUAAAGGAAAUUAUUGUUCAAAACUACAGUUACUUUGGAUUAAAAAAUAAGUCCUUUUAGAAUAGAAAAUUCCAUCCCCUAGAAGAGGAUGGUUGGAGCAGAAGUAAUCAUCUUGCAGAACUGGCAUUGUUUCCCUCAAGUGAUGACAGCCCUAGCAAUUUCUUCAGAUCACCUUUCAGAACCAGAACUCAGAAGACGAAUCAAGUGUGUGUGUGUGGGGGGGGGGGUGAGCAGUAAUUCCAGCCCUUGAGAGGCGAGGCAGUAGACUACAGAUCAACCAGGUUACAGCUUGGUGGCUGUUUAGUGAUGAGUAGCUACUCACUCCUGCCCUAAUGCCUCUUCUAGUUAAACCUAAGGCUCCUGUCAGUAUCCUGAAGAUGGAUGUAGGGGUCAUCGCCCCCUUUAUCUGUUCUUCCUAAUGCUUUAGAUAAAUUUCCUUUUCUCUUCAUUACCAGUACUCUAAUUGAUGUAUUAAAGUACACUGGGCUUAGCCUUUUGGCACUACUGGAGCCAGCGCCUUACUCUUAAAAUUCCAGUUAUUAUUCCCUGCUUAUUUUAAAACACACACACACACACACACACACACACACACACACACACACUUUAGCUCUUUUCCAUCUCCUGGAUCCCAGCCUACCCAACCUCUACAAUGGGCUAACUCUCUCUCUCUCUCUCUCUCUCUCUCUCUCUCUCUCUCUCUCUCUCUCUCUCUCUUUCUG
Long non-coding RNA from Mesocricetus auratus (golden hamster), 1108 nucleotides. RefSeq lists it as uncharacterized. The transcript is spliced from 3 exons. NCBI's taxonomy places the organism in Eukaryota, Metazoa, Chordata, Mammalia, Rodentia, Cricetidae. The record is from RefSeq and is a predicted model, not a curated record.